ACGAAAACAGAAACGGAAAGGCAACUCUAAAUUGUUCGCCUCGUCAUGAAAGCUUUCAAUUCAAAAGACAUAAAGAAGAAAAUUUUCUACAGAAACUCAAAUUAAAUUCAAAUUAAAUUUCACAACCCACAAAUAUUUACCGUUCAUUUAGCGAAAAAAAAAAAAAUGAACGAAAAACGAAACAUUCUCAGCGGAAAAAUGCGCAAACAAAUCUCACGCAAGCCAUCAUCUUCUCCCUCAAUUGUUCUGUAAGAGAAAACAAUGUCAUUAUCAUCAUCAGCAUCUGCUACGGAAUCAUGCGAGGAUGCAGUUUUAUUUAUGGACUUUUGUCAAAUGCAGUGGAAAUGCUAAGCUAUGCCCUGGAUGUGUAACAAAUCCCACAGUGAGGCAGGUUCCCCAAGUUAUUACAUUAGCCACACUCUACGAAGGCAUUAACACGACAGACACGAAGAGGCGAAGAAACAGCAUCAAUAAACCUGUUACAAUGUCACGUAAGAAAAAGUUCCAUUCAAAAUUGCUGUCACAUAAAAUACGAGACGACAAAAUGUACCGCUAAAAGUCUAUCCCAAGCUUUACACUCAAACUAAAAUAAGCGCUAAAUUACAUUCUGGUGAGAGUUCAGAUUGAGUAUGACAACUAAUGUACACGGGUCAAAUCAGUUGUUUCCAUAUCUUUUUGUCUAAAUAUAUAUUUGAUUGAAAAUC
Molecule: long non-coding RNA, 704 nt
Organism: Musca domestica (house fly)
Lineage: Eukaryota; Metazoa; Arthropoda; Insecta; Diptera; Muscidae
Exons: 3
Source: RefSeq, a predicted model, not a curated record